RNAcentral lists this transfer-messenger RNA (349 nucleotides) under Firmicutes bacterium ADurb.Bin153. RNAcentral describes it as "transfer-messenger RNA, SsrA". It matches the Rfam family "transfer-messenger RNA". From Rfam's summary of the family: Bacterial tmRNA, also known as 10Sa RNA or SsrA, is named for its dual tRNA and mRNA-like properties. Its role is to liberate the mRNA from a stalled ribosome. To accomplish this part of the tmRNA is used as a reading frame that ends in a translation stop signal. Lineage: Bacteria; Bacillati; Bacillota. RNAcentral also lists the same sequence under 2 other names. The record is from RNAcentral.
GGGGGCGAUACGGUUUCGACGGGGAGAGUUGCGACAGUCUAAGCGAGCCGAGUUGUCCGCGGACUCGAUAAUCAAGCGGAAAACACACAAAAGCCAAUAAUUACGCUUACGCUGCUUAAUUAAAGCAGACGUCCGAAGCGGCCCCAUCCCGGAGGGUUGCAAGGGCGCCAAAUAAACCGGGGAUGCUCUUCCGGCAAUUCUCGGAGCCGGAGGAAAAGAUCAUCGAGAUAGCGACUGGGGAGCCGGCCGAGGGGCGCUCCGGAAGCGAAGUUGAAAACUGCGGCUACGCUCGUAGAAGGGGCUGAAGUGACCUUUUCGGACCCGGGUUCGACUCCCGGCGCCUCCACCA